AGUCAGCACAGUGACUAUAAACCGCCUUAAGCUGUGCGCGUUCUAACAAAAAGUUAGAGGUGGCG
RNAcentral lists this ribozyme (65 nucleotides) under unclassified sequences. RNAcentral's name for it is "pistol ribozyme". It matches the Rfam family "Pistol ribozyme". The record is from RNAcentral.